RNAcentral lists this long non-coding RNA (7120 nucleotides) under Elaeis guineensis (African oil palm). Its description in RNAcentral is "long non-coding RNA (EGUI_LNC013246)". Lineage: Eukaryota; Viridiplantae; Streptophyta; Magnoliopsida; Arecales; Arecaceae. The record is from RNAcentral.
CAGGGAAUCAGAUUGUUUCUUUUCGAGUGGAUUCCUUUUCCUUUUGUAUUAUUCUUUAUCAGAUAUUGUGUUUUGAAUAAUUGGUUUGAUUCUGAGAAGAUAUAUGCGAUCAGAGAGAUGAUUCAUUUAACCUCCUGUUUUUUAUGAAUUUUGCAGUUAUAUUCAUUGAAGUGUCAAAUUGCACUGAUUCUUUUACCUGAUUAGAGCUAUCACAAGCUGGUUUGAUAGAAUGAUAAAUUCGAUUUCCUUGGCUUGCUGUCACUUCAUAGGUUAAGCAUUGUGGGAACAUGAUAUUUCUACUCUUCCUGCUGCUUAAUUGGUUGUUACUUGAGCUUACAUUGUUGACUGGUUCAUCUUGGUUUACCAGAAUACCGAGUCAUUACUUGUUGGAGAUGCAGACGCUGGAGAAUGGAUUUCGGAUGUGGGAUUUGUUCACCAAUAUAAUAUAUAUUUCGAUUAUGGUGUACUUUCAUCAUGUUGAUCAAUCAGGGUUAUUGACAAAUUAACUUAGUGCAUUUGCUUUUUAUGAUUCAGAGGAUGCUGCAAAUAGAAGCAAAAGAUGUCCUACUCUUUUUUGUCCCAUGUGUUGUUGAGUGUGGCCAUUACUUCUGUUGUUACUGUAGUAUUUGGAAGGAUGUGGUGGGCAUCAUCUUCAAAAGGUUGGGUCAUUCGAUGCCUUCCUAGAUACAAGGUAUUUGAGGUUUUCAUUAUUGGUCAGGACUACUUUUUCCCCUUGUAUAUUGAUUUUAUAGGACUCAUCCACCUUUCAAGUCCUUUCACAGUUCUUCUUCAUUCUUGGGUUGUAUUAUUGGCUCAUCUUUCUGAUCCAUUAGUGCUCACAAUCGUGGUUUAUGCGUUAUUUGCGGUUCUCUGGUGUAUUUGUUCUCUUGCAUUUCUUUUCCAUUCUCCCUCCAAGCAAGUUUAGGUUUGUCUGUUAUAAUUCUGAUACACUGCAUCUGCUAUUAUACUUUCGGUGGUGAUCCCUUUUACAUCGAGUGCUUAUCUAGAUCUGGGAUAAUCUUGAUUUCUUGGUUAAUCUCAUGCAAUAUAUCAUCUUGUGAUUGAUGUUGGCAGUUGUUUCAUGAUUUCCUGUUGCAUCAGUGGCCUGGCGAUUCUCUCAUUUUCGACCAACACCUUGAGUUCUUAAUACAAUCUGGCUCCAUUGGAGAGUAUAUUUGUUUUUUCAUGAAGGGUUUUCUCGCUUUGAUUAUUGAAUUGAUUGUGCUAAUUUUUGGCCUUUAUGCUUUUAGUUCAGGUCUUUCUUAGUUUGUUAUUUGUGAUGUUGCAGAAGAGCUUACGCAACUUGGGAAAAUCUUGCUGAAGAGGUAUCUUCAUCUUAUAAUUGAAGGAAGCGCCGAGGAAAUGGAAUGCAAUGAUAUGUUUUUUUUUUUUACUGAAUAGAGUUUCUAAUCUUGAUAGCGGGGUUCAUUAUGCUUGCCUUUUCGUGCGGUAGCUGCUCAUGUGGAAACAUAAAGGUUAAUUUAUUAUUUGUGCUGUUGCAGUUUAGCUUGUGCUGCAGGAUACAAUUUUGCCCCAUAUUAGCCAAUAUAGAAGGAAUCGUCCUUAUUUAUAUCAUUGUUUGUAUUUGAUGCCUAUAUGUUUUUAAUCACCCUUUUUUCUCAAUAGGGUUUUCUUUUGGGCUCAUAUUUUAGCAAUCCUUUUAUUUGCUUCACCAGAACCUUGAUUUGAUCUGUGAAGGGCGAUACUAGAGGAAUUAGUGUUAAGAAAGGAUUUUUCAUGAUGAGGAUUCCUCACUUCCCCUGAUAAUCUAGGGGUCACGGUAUGUGGGGCUUGACAUGGGAUGCUAUCUUGAUAAGUGGAUCUGCUGCUUAUAUGCUUUGUCAAGUUUCAUUUCUGUAUUCCAGAAAUCUCAUUCAUUUGUGUUAUUAAUAACCUGGUGAUGUUCUCUUAUUUUUUUGACCAGAACCGUCAGCUCUCAAGACAUCUGUGUGGAUUGGAUCAUGAUAUGUGCUUUUGAUGGAGCGUGUUCCUCAACCUUUAUCAUAGAAUUGGUAAUAUUUCCCAUUUGUUCUUAAACUUAGAGUUCAAGUCAUAGGAUUGGUAUUUCUGAUGUCACAGAGAGCUUGCACAACAUCAGGUUAUCUUGCUCAAGUGCAUCUUUACCUGAUAAUGAAGACAGUUCGAAGGAAAUGUAAUGAUAUGAUUUUCUAUGGAGGGAGUUUCUCAUCUUUGAUAGACUACUUUUUCGUGCACUAGCUGUUCAUGGGGAACGUUGGAAGUUACUGUAUGGUUUGUGUUGUUGCAGUAACUUUGCUGUAGGUUAUUAUUUUGCCCAUGUGGAAGGGUUUGUCCUUAUUUAUAGCUUGGCCAUUUUCAACAUUAAUUUAUAAUUUGUCAAUCUUUGUUCUGAGCGCUGAAAGUUUGAGUAACUGGGAUUAAGGAAGGGUUUUUAAUGAAGGUGCUUCCUUCCACAAAUUCUUUAGGAGUCCAUGAUCUCAUUCAUCCCUGUUGAGUUGGUGACCUUGUGAGCUUCUCUCAUUUGUUUGACUUACUUGAGCGCUUGAGAGAUUUUGGGUGAAAGAGAGAAGGUAUGUUUUUUUUAAACUAUGGAGUGGGUUCCUUAAGCUCAUUAAUUUGUUACUGCUGGCAUUGCAUAGGAGCCUGUGCAUCGUGGGCAAUCUUGCUCAAAGGUACUCUUGAUCUGAUAAUGGAAAAUGGUUUGGAGGAAUGAAUUGAUGAAGGUUGUUCGUCAUCUUUGAUAGCGGAGUGAAUAUUUUCUAUUCUUUCCUCCACCAGCUGUUCAAAUUGAGGAGGUUAAUUUAUUAUUUGUUCUGUUGCUGAGUUUGUGCUGCAAAUCACAGUUUUACCCUUGUGGAAGGGUUUGUCUCUAAUUUAUAUCAUAGUUUUUGUUUGUAUACCUGUGUUCCUAAUUUCCAUAUUUCAAUCUUAAUUGGGAAUCUGUCGAUCUAUAUUUUCAGCACCGUGAUUUUAUUUUUGGGUGACUAUCUUAGCAACCCUUUUGUUCGCUUUUCAGCACCUCAGUUUGAUCAGUGAAGGCAACAUGGCGGGUUAGAGUUAAGGAAGAAAUUUUCAUGAAUCACUUCGCAGAUAAAGGUUGGGAUCUUUCAGUUUAUGUUGUGUGGGUUGGAUCCAUAAGAUACCACAGCUUUUGAUGUUCUAUAAUUCACCGAAAUGAGUUGGUAGUUCGAUCCUUUUGAUUCUUAUCCUCCUUGUAACAGGCAUCCUGAGCAAUACGUUGUUUUACAUAUAAAUUUGAUUAUGCUAUUGUUUCUCUCUAUCUACAAUGUGUCAUUAAAGAGUUGAAGAAUAGUUAACUAGUAUGAGAGCAUCUCAUUUUUUGGUACGGUAUUUAUUGUAUUAUUGUUAUCUAUUCAGACUGUUAGUUUCUUGAUUGCUUGUUUAUCAAGAAUGUGGCAUAUAGGAUGCACAUUAUUUUUUGAUAAGGUCUGACUCGAACUUUUUGAAUCUUGUUGGUAACUGCCGCACUGAAGGGAAAAUGCAAACAAGGAGCAGGGGGAGGGCAGUAAGGAAAUAUGGGUGGGGAAACAUGGAUGGUCUAACAUACCUCAUUCAUGGGGACAUUGAGGGAAUUGGUGUUACAUAGUAUAAUAUCAUUGGGAUUAUUGAUGGUUUUUGUGUACUAUAGGUUAUGGAGGUAAGUAGAUUAUGGGUUUGGUUAUCUGUGAUGAUCCUUUUUUUUUAUUUUCAUAGGGUUGAAGGUAUCUGCUAGCUUGUAUUCAUCUUUAUGCAGUGCCAGUUCAUAAAGCAUAUAAUAUGGAGUCUAUUUUGUUUAGUGGCUUUGUAGCUUUGUCUCUUGGUUCCAGAAUAUAUUCAUUCCCAUUUAUCUAGUAAGCUUGCGAUCAUCUCUCAUUUCUAUGACCCGCUCCUUGAUCAUUAUAGGAUGUAUGCACUAAUUGGAGUAUGAUAUGACCAUUUUCACUGGCAUCAUUUUUAGCCUUGAGUUUAGAAUCAGUUAUAGUUGUUUUCUCCUGAUACUUAAGAGUUUAUAUGAUAGGAUAACUUGUUAUUUCUGUUGUUGCAGAAAAGCCAGUGCAAGUGGGAAACAAUCUAUCUCAGGGGUAUCUUGAUCUUGAAGGCUAUAUAAAAACUGGAGUUUAAUGUUGUGAUUUUUUAUUAAGGGGAUCGAAAUGUUUGUUAGUGGAGUUUACUAUAUUUUUUUGUUCACAAACUAUUCACAUGGAAGAUUAAUUUAUUAUUUCUGCCGUCGCAGAUGUGCUUGUAUUGCGGGAUGCAAUUUUUCCAAGGCAGAAGAGCAGGGUGUGUCCUUUAUAUCCUAGUCAUUGUUUUUGUGCAUUUGUGUACCAAAUAGUCGCCCUGUUCCAUUAUUGGCUUGUGUUCUCUUAAUGGGUCUGGUCCCUUGGUAGAUUUUGGAAAAUGCUGGAUUAUGAUUUGUAAUGAGCUUUAUUUUCUUCCUGUUAGAUUUGCACUAUACUUUUUCUUGUAUUGAUAAUCGUGCUAUUAUAUAUUGUAGGCAAUGGUGUGUCUUAGAAGUUAGAGCUGAUAUAAGUUCUUCUUUUGAUAAGUGACUUAGUAGCUGCUAGACUUAAAUCUGGGUUUGUUUUUUCAUCCUUGUUCCAAUUACUCAAAUAUUUCUUUAUUAUUGGUAAUCCUGUCGUUUUCCUCACCAGAACUAUGAUUUGAUUCGUGAAGGCAUAAUGGAGCAAUCCAAGUGGAGCAGUGAUUUUUCGUGCAUUGGUGCAUAUGUGAAUUGAUUUUUAUUCUGCUACUGCUGAGUGACUUAGUAUCUGUUAGUCUAUUCUGUUCAUCUUUGUUCCUCAUGCUCUAACUUUUGAUAUGGAUUACUCUUUUGCUUCACUAGAAAUUUGAUUUGAUCUGUGAAAGCAUCAUGGGGGAAUCCAAGGGAAGAAGCAAUUUGUAAUUAUGAGAGUAGUACUGUAGGUGACAUUUCAGCUGAUGAACAGAGGGGGCUCACUGGCUUAUGUCAUUUCAUUGUAUUUUAAUCAUCAUUUACAUACUGUUGGCUUCUUUAAUUUCAUUAUCAGUAUCAAUAUUAUUGGUGGUUUUACUCUAUUCUUGCUUGCAAGCGGAUGUAGAUUUCUUGAAGAUUUGCAUUUAUUAUGGUAGUGAGUUUCUUGAAGAUUUGCAGCAAUUUUUUUGACUUGGUUUUAGUGUUUACAGAAUUAGAAGCUGUUUGUUCUUGUUUGUGUGUUUGACAAUCGAAUAUGGUUUCUUGUGAUCUUCUUUUUGAAAAUAAUGCAAGUGGUUGAGUUUUUUUUUGGAACUGGGAGUGCUCUUUUGUUAAACUACAGGCAUUUCUUGUAAUGUGUUUUGAUCAGUUUUUGAAUAUCGCCAAUCCAACAAUAUGAGUUCAGACUUGCUUAUGAUUUUCCUGCUGCCAGUUUUACAGUUUUUGGUAUUCAUUUUUACAAUAUUAUUUUCAGUUUGAAAGCAUCACACAAGCAUUAUUUUGCAGCCUGAUGAGUGUUUUCUGAUGUUUCUGAUACUAAUACUCGAAAGAGAUGUUCCUGAUUCCAAUUCAAUGUUACUUUAGAUUCCAUCUUCCAGUGUUGGACAAGAUAGGCAUGAUUCAGAGGCUGAAAUUGAGGUUGGAGAUUUGCAGUAGUUGUGGAAUCUUCUGUGACUUGGUUGUUAGGGUUCACAAAAUUAGGAGCUGUUUGUUCUUGUUUGAGGAUUUCACAGUUGAAUCUGGUUUAUUGUGAUUUAGUUUACUUUUUUUUUUCCCUAAAAAAGAAAAUCCAAGUGGUCAGGUUUCUUUCUUAUGGAAGUGGUAGUGCUCCAUUGUUAAUCUGCAGGAAUCAGCCAUGGUGUAUUCUUAUUGGAUCUUUGAGUAUUGCCAAUCCGACAGUCCGAGUUCAGAUUUACUUCAUGAUUUUCUUGUAUUCAGUUGAAGCACUGGUGCCGGGGUUAUGAGUUUUAAGUAUUUAUUUUAAUAAUCCUUUCAGCGUGCAAUCUUCGUGGAAGGGGUUUCUGAUGUUGAUACUCAUGCUUGAUGCUUCUGAUUGUGAGUUGUUAUUUCAGUUUCCAUAUUUUGAUGUUGGACAUGAGAAGUCUUUCAUGGGGGUUUCUUCUUCUUUAUAGUUGUUUCUCUUCGUAUUUUUAUUUUUAUUUUUAUUUUUUCAAGUAAGGUUUUGUAUGGUUAUUAUCAUCUGUCUAUUCCCUGGGGAUUUCUUGAAGAUUUGCAGUAAUCUAGGGAACCAGGGAAUUCUUGGAGAUUUGCAGUGAAUUUCUUGAAGAUUUUCUUGAAGAUUGCAGUAAUUAAGGUUUCGAAUUUCUUGAGGAUUUGCAAUAGUUUGGUAUUUCUCUAUGACAUGGUUUAGGGUUUGCAGAAUUAGAGGCAGUUUGUUCUUCUUUGAGAAUUCGUCGAUAUGAGGUUUGAACCCAUUUUUUCGUGAUUUUGGUUUCCUUUUUGAAAAGGAAUUUAAUUGGUUCAGGUAUCUUAUGAAACUGGAAGUGCCUCUUCAUUAAUCUACAGGAAUCAGCAGUGUUGUGUUUUAAUUGGAUUCUGAUUGUUGCCCAUCCGACUGUGCAAGUUCUGGCUUGCCUCAUGAUUUUCUUAUAUUUGGUUGAAGAAUUGUUGUGGGAUUAUGAAAUUUUAGUUUUUUUUAAAAUAUAUUAAGGUCAGUUUGAAAACAUCAGAGAAGCAUUAUCUUGCAGACCAGGGAAGCAUGAUUUUGAGGCUGGAAUUCAGAUAGAUUGAUUUCUUGUGAAGGGGGUUUGUCUAUCGCUUGGAUAUGAUGAAAAUAUUAUUGUGCAAGAAACAAAGACUUCUGAUGAUGUUCAUGCCAAAUCAUGGUUCUUGAUUCUUGAUGGUUGCUUUAGGUUCCAUCGUGAAAGGGAUGCCCUUGUUAUCCAAUUCAAACAAAAGAGAUGAUGUAGAGGCAGGGAAUCAGAUUGUUUCUUUUUGAGUGGAUUCCUUUUCCUUUCGUAUUAUUCUUGAUCAGAUAUUGUGAUUUGAAUAAUUGGUUCGAUUCUGAGAAGCAAUAUGUGAUCAGAGAGAUGAUUCAUUUAACCUCCUGUUUUUGAUGAAAUUUGCAGUUAUAUCCAUUGAAGUGUUAAAUUGCAUUGAUUCUUUUACCUGAUUAGAGCUAUCACUUGCUGGUUUGAUAGAAUGAUAAAUUCCAUUUCCUUGGCUUGC